AAUCCAACCAGGGCCCAAACCAUUGUUAUUAUGCGCUCACGCUUAGGAUCCUUCCCCGACGCAGGUUGUCGCGUCCCCUGCUGCUGCGACCAUGGCCGCCGAGCGUGGGCUGCUGGGGGACUACCGGAGCACCGAAACUGUUGGAGGCAGGGACAUGGGUCCGCGGUUAUGUCGCGUGGAGCCACGGCGCUUCCAGGCGGCGGGAUGGACGUGGCAUCCGGGGGGAGCUGGCAUGGGCGAUGGCGCAGUGCCGCCACCGCCCUCUCCGUGCCGAUGCCGUCGGUGCAUCCCAGCCCACAGCCGCAGUAGCUGCGGUGGCCGUGGGAGGAGUUCCGCUGCCAUGAGAUCUUUCCUAGAGAUGAUGGUUGGAGUGACCUCAUCAAGGGCAUUGUUGGGCAGGAUGCAUGUCUGAGGCCAGAUUGAGCAAGAAAGCAUGCUGCUCUAGGCGUCCAUAGCCUCAGACUGCGAAGAUCUACAGGGCCCAGUCAGCCUCGCAGGUGUGCAUAACGGCAGCUGCAAGGUUGAAGAUCGUCAUCGUGAAUGAGCAUGACUGCUUCCCUACACAUGGAAAAGGAACGACAUGCCACACUGCAAGAUACAAAGAUGGAAUAGAGAUGUUGCUCGAAAGGUUAAAAAAUGAAAGGAUUAGAGACUCCACAAUGGAUUUGGACAGUAAGCUAUCACCUAUGCUCCCAUCGAAUGCUAUGUGGUGGGAGUUAUGGUCGCAGCUAGCGCAUAAUUUUGAGUGACAUUGAAGGCAAUGGUUUCUAUGCCCAAUCCCUCCUAAAAUUGGACACCUUAUGCAUCUCUUUGCUGGAGCUGUUCUUUAAGAACCAGAGCAGUGCAAAGCAGCGAUGUUGCACUGAAGAUCAUAUACUAUGGAGUCUGUUAUGCUGAAGUUGCUUGGACACAGAAUAAGCUCAAUGAUUCAAAAUUUCCUUUGGUUGUUGGUGUGGCAGCACAUAUUCAGACUAUGCUAGAAGAAACCCAGCUGAAAUUUGAGAAAAGGUAUUUGGUAUUCCACUUCCACACGAUUUUCCUAUUAAUUUAUUGAGAGCAUGUGAAACCACAUAAGUUAUUUUCUUCUGAAAUCGAGUUUAGUACUGAAACCUGUAUUGAGGUUGAAUGUAAAUAUGGCGAGGUAGAAAACUAAAUUUUUGACUUGAGGGAAACAUUAUCUUAAUUCAAUUGUUUGGACCACUGUGGCUCUCACUGCAAAGAUGUAUUAUUGGGUGGACUUGUCAAAAGUGAAAAUCGUUUGUCCUUAUCGUAGUAGAUAAAUAUGUUCCUUUUUCUCUUUACUUUGUGUUCUAUCAAGAAGUUCUGCAUCCUUUGCUGGCACGUAAACAUAGUCAUAAUGUUUCUUUGUCUUUGCAAGAUUUGUUUUUGAACUGAUAUUUUGUUCUUGUAAAGGAUAUUAGGUGUGACAUAAAUUUGAGUGAGUAUGGUGUAAACGCUAUUCUUAUAAUCAAUGUUGCUUCAAAAUGGUAGCUUUUGAAACCGAACUUCAUUAUUUAACAUUGUAAUCUAGCCUACUUCAAAUCAUAAUUCUAAGGAAAUGGUUGUCCCUUUCUCCAAGUUUGAAUUUAUUCAUUUGAGCGAAUCUACUUGUUAAUCUUUAAAGCAGUUGAAAUGAAUACUGUAUCCUCCAGGGUUAACUUCAUAUAUUGCAUCUAUCUUCAACCCAACUUGUACUAUGGAUCUGAGUUGCUGUUCUGUCUAGGCCUUUCAGGAAGGGGACCUACCAUUUUAUAUUAUGUUCUUAGACGGAUGCAUGUCUUUCCUUGUUGUUUAUGCAUAUGUUACUAUACUGCAGACUACUAAUGUUGUAAAUAGCUCACUCUGGUGUAGCAAACAUGUGCUUUGUAUCUUUGGAGAACUCCAAAAUCUACUUAAGCAAUUCAAAAAUUAUUUUAGUAUGCUAGACAUGACUUUAUUGUACCUUGUUCUGCAUGGGUGUUUUUUUUGGAUUAUAUACAUGGUCAUAUACAAUUGCGUGAGAAUUAAAAUAUAGAAAAAUAUUGUUGUUUAGUUGUUUUUAUGUGCAUUAUUGAAAUAAAACUGUGGCGUUAGCACAGACACUAUACUAGUACUACAGUAGGAAUUCCAAAGCACUACCAUCUGAUUUUUACUAUCAAGCCCAACAAACCUACCUAAAAUAAAAAAAUAAGGAAAUGCCUUAUAAAGCUGCCCGGAGAGAGUGUAAUUGAAAAACAGAAAACAUAAUCUUAUCCUUAUCCAUCAAUUGGAGAUCUGAAAAGUCCCAAAAUCAUAUCCUCGAGUAGUGGAAAGGCCGAAGUUGAACCCUUUUGGGCUAAGGCUGUGCUGGUGCUACAGGGUCAUGAAGGCAAAGGGCUAAAGGCCAAGACCACUAGGUUUGCCACUUGCCUUUGCACUAUUAUAUUGGUAGAGUUUUUCUAGUAUUUUUAAGAAGUAGUAACACAUUCCUAGAA
This is a long non-coding RNA of Sorghum bicolor (sorghum), 2453 nucleotides long. RefSeq lists it as uncharacterized. The record is from RefSeq and is a predicted model, not a curated record. NCBI's taxonomy places the organism in Eukaryota, Viridiplantae, Streptophyta, Magnoliopsida, Poales, Poaceae. The transcript has 5 exons.